UAGGGAUCUUCAGUUUCUGUGUCGUAUGCUUAAUCA
This 36-nucleotide small RNA is filed under the name Arabidopsis thaliana (thale cress). RNAcentral's name for it is "ATSL235190". The record is from RNAcentral. Lineage: Eukaryota; Viridiplantae; Streptophyta; Magnoliopsida; Brassicales; Brassicaceae.